UACGUAGGGUGCAAGCGUUGUCCGGAAUUAUUGGGCGUAAAGAGCUCGUAGGCGGUCUGUCGCGUCGGCUGUGAAAACCCGAGGCUCAACCUCGGGCCUGCAGUCGAUACGGGCAAACUAGAGUACUGCAGGGGAGACUGGAAUUCCUGGUGUAGCGGUGAAAUGCGCAGAUAUCAGGAGGAACACCGGUGGCGAAGGCGGGUCUCUGGGCUGAGAUUGACGCUCAGGCACGAAAGCGUGGGGAGCAAACAGG
This 253-nucleotide ribosomal RNA is filed under the name uncultured bacterium. RNAcentral's name for it is "partial 16S ribosomal RNA". It matches the Rfam family "Bacterial small subunit ribosomal RNA", at positions 524 to 776 of the family's 1533-position model. The record is from RNAcentral.